This 791-nucleotide ribosomal RNA is filed under the name Bacteroides sp. RNAcentral's name for it is "bacterial SSU rRNA". It matches the Rfam family "Bacterial small subunit ribosomal RNA", at positions 286 to 1080 of the family's 1533-position model. Lineage: Bacteria; Pseudomonadati; Bacteroidota; Bacteroidia; Bacteroidales; Bacteroidaceae. The record is from RNAcentral.
GGGGUUCUGAGAGGAAGGUCCCCCACAUUGGAACUGAGACACGGUCCAAACUCCUACGGGAGGCAGCAGUGAGGAAUAUUGGUCAAUGGGCGAGAGCCUGAACCAGCCAAGUAGCGUGAAGGAUGAAGGCUCUAUGGGUCGUAAACUUCUUUUAUAUGGGAAUAAAGUAUUCCACGUGUGGAAUUUUGUAUGUACCAUAUGAAUAAGGAUCGGCUAACUCCGUGCCAGCAGCCGCGGUAAUACGGAGGAUCCGAGCGUUAUCCGGAUUUAUUGGGUUUAAAGGGAACGUAGGUGGAUUGUUAAGUCAGUUGUGAAAGUUUGCGGCUCAACCGUAAAAUUGCAGUUGAAACUGGCAGUCUUGAGUACAGUAGAGGUGGGCGGAAUUCGUGGUGUAGCGGUGAAAUGCUUAGAUAUCACGAAGAACUCCGAUUGCGAAGGCAGCUCACUAGACUGUCACUGACACUGAUGCUCGAAAGUGUGGGUAUCAAACAGGAUUAGAUACCCUGGUAGUCCACACAGUAAACGAUGAAUACUCGCUGUUUGCGAUAUACAGUAAGCGGCCAAGCGAAAGCAUUAAGUAUUCCACCUGGGGAGUACGCCGGCAACGGUGAAACUCAAAGGAAUUGACGGGGGCCCGCACAAGCGGAGGAACAUGUGGUUUAAUUCGAUGAUACGCGAGGAACCUUACCCGGGCUUAAAUUGCAACAGAAUAUAUUGGAAACAGUAUAGCCGUAAGGCUGUUGUGAAGGUGCUGCAUGGUUGUCGUCAGCUCGUGCCGUGAGGUGUCGGCU